UUGGUCCCGAGACUCCCCCAGGGACGGGCGGAAGAACAGAGAGUUAGCCUCUGCCCUGAUGCGUCCCCGCAGGCGGGAGCAGGCUUCGCCUCCCGAGAGUCGCUUAGAACUAGGGCAGUCCGCACCCAGAGGGAGACUUCUCCCGCUGCCUGACCCCGCCUGUCAUCCCCAGUGACCCUCCUGGACGGACGAAUUAAGUUUCUCCCAGAAUAGACUUUUAUGGGCAUUUUCUUUUUUUUUUUUUUUCUUUUUUAAUCUUUCUUGCCAUUCCGAAAAUAUAAAGCACCUACCGCUGCCAGGCGCUGUGCUGUGACAGUCUAAAUCCCAUGCGUAGGCAAGGUCUUUGCUCAAAACUUAAGUGCCAGUAGAGCCUUAUCUGCUUCUUUUAAAGUGAUCCUCUUGUGUGUUGCUAUAAUAUUCACGACAAGCAUUUAUUAUUUAGGCCGCCUCUCCCUGCUGUCCUUGAUUUUAAAGAAAAAUAACUGCUAAAGUUAAUUGAAAUUUUACCUUGUGUCAGUCUUGGUAUUAAGCAUAUAAAAUGGAUCGUCUUACUAAUCCUGAGAACAGCCCUUUGAGGUUAAUCUGGAGCAGAGAAUGAAGGCAGCCAAAGAAGAGUUGCUGAACCGGUUAGGAGACUACAGCAGCCAUCCCAGCAAGAGAUGAUAGCGUGGAUUCGCAGAUACAGAAAAGUGGACAGGUUUCAGAGGGACACCUGGCAGAAUCUAGCAGAAUGUGAACUUUUAUAAAAGAAAAGCUGCUCCGUGGCAAUGUCUGCUUUCCUGGUACAAAAUAACUCCGAGGCAAGAAAAUACCAAGAGUUCUUAGCAAGAGAAUGAGAGAGAGAGAGAGCCAUCACAAGCA
This is a long non-coding RNA of Neogale vison (American mink), 861 nucleotides long. RefSeq lists it as uncharacterized. The transcript has 4 exons. Lineage: Eukaryota; Metazoa; Chordata; Mammalia; Carnivora; Mustelidae. The record is from RefSeq and is a predicted model, not a curated record.